RNAcentral lists this ribosomal RNA (413 nucleotides) under uncultured prokaryote. RNAcentral's name for it is "bacterial SSU rRNA". It matches the Rfam family "Bacterial small subunit ribosomal RNA", at positions 505 to 918 of the family's 1533-position model. The record is from RNAcentral.
GUGUCAGCAGCCGCGGUAAUACGGAGGAUGCAAGCGUUAUCCGGAAUCAUUGGGCGUAAAGAGUCCGUAGGUGGCACUUCAAGUCUGCUUUCAAAGACCGAAGCUCAACUUCGGAAAGGGAGUGGAAACUGAAGAGCUAGAGUAUAGUAGGGGUAGAGGGAAUUCCUAGUGUAGCGGUGAAAUGCGUAGAGAUUAGGAAGAACACCAGUGGCGAAGGCGCUCUACUGGGCAUAUACUGACACUGAGGGACGAAAGCUAGGGGAGCGAAAGGGAUUAGAUACCCCUGUAGUCCUAGCGGUAAACGAUGGAUACUAGGCGUAGUGCUGUUAGAAGGACUGUGCCGAAGCUAACGCGUUAAGUAUCCCGCCUGGGGAGUACGCACGCAAGUGUGAAACUCAAAGGAAUUGACGGGG